Molecule: long non-coding RNA, 1526 nt
Organism: Peromyscus leucopus (white-footed mouse)
Lineage: Eukaryota; Metazoa; Chordata; Mammalia; Rodentia; Cricetidae
Exons: 3
Source: RefSeq, a predicted model, not a curated record
UCCCCAUCUGGCAUGUCUCCAUCUUCUGUGCCAGGUCCUGGGCGGGUAUGGGAUGGAGGGGCAGAAUGCAAAACUUCACACAUGCCUAGGCAAGCACUCUACCACUGCACUGUGCUCUUUUCCCAGCCAGGACCCUAAGCCUAGCAUAAUAGACCUAUGUCGUUCAGGAAUGCUGUCCACACUGAAACUCCAUUCUGCUAAGGCCUCACUUUGGAAUUUAAGCUUUAUCUGCUGAUUGAUGAGAUGAUACAGAUUCAGGGAGACUAAGAAACUGACCCCUGGCCACACAGCUGCAAGGCAUCGAGUUUCUGCAAGAACCAAGCCCGAGUUCUCCAGCUUCUCCAGGUGCGGGGAGGAAGUGUUCACACAUCUACCCCUCCAGACUCUUCAGGCUACAGAAGCAGUUUCUCCACAUAUCAGCCCGUGAGGUGGGCGGUCCACACCUUCCCAGCUGCAGUAACUGAGGAGCAGAGUGCCAUGAACUGCCUCCAGUUACUCAGCAAGAGAACAGAACCGAGUUUCUCACCCAGGGCAGCAGCAGACUCUCCACGGUACCAGGCACGACAGAACAGGCCAGCGAAAGCACAGCCAGGAUGCCAGGGGAUUGUUAACCUCCCAAUAAAGAACUGAGCUGGCUCCAGGGCAUCUCUGGUUUACACUUGCCACCCUGAGUCAUCUUGAUGAUGAGAAAUGCUCGUGCCUAGAACUGCUCUGCUGACCCGUGACCCACCAGGAAGUGUCUGCACCAGAGGGAGAGACAAAGACGGUAUCUCAGGCUGGUCUAGGACUCGCUAUGCAGUCAAAGAGAACCUUGACCCUCUUUGCCUCUGCCUUCACCUCCCAAAUGCUGGCAAUGGAACCCAGGACUUCAGGCAUGCUAGUCCAGCAUUCUACCUACUGAGCUGUAUCCCCAGCCCUUGGCAUGACCUUUGCCUGCCUCAUCCCGUGACCUACUGGAGGCUACUGACCACGUUCACAGAGCCACUUUUGUUGAGCUGAUUACCCCAAGGCUACAACUAACCUUAUCAUUAUCCAGAACAGCUCCUGCUCUGGGUUCUAGGACACUGUGGUCCCUGGGUGGCCAUAGUCACCUCUCUCUGGCUUUCCAGUUCCAGGGAUAUCUGCCCACAGGGUCAUCAAGACUUCCCAUCUCCCGCUUCCUAUCCCUCGGACCAGAUCUACUCUACUUCCUCUGUACCGGAAUAUUUCCCCCAAGUUCACCAGUCCCUUGCCCAACUCCAGCCUUCCCACUGUGUGAAACUCAGCCCUUGUUCAGAUCACCCCGGCCUCUACCAGUGACCUCAGGAGAAGUGCAAAUCGGCUAAAGAUAUUCACAGGAGUCGUUAAAGUUGGAAUCCUGGCUCCACUGCUCUUUGCUGUAUGUAUGACCCUGGGCGAAUGAUGUAAGUCCUGGGCCUGUAGAGUCCUGUAGGAAAGAAAAACAGUAACGCACACUGCUCAGGUUGAAGGUUCAAUUUUCAUUUUUUAUUUUAUUCUUUUUCUCAGUUUUUUGAGAUAGGGUCUCU